CGGCGGACGGGUGAGUAACGCGUGGGUAACUGCCUCAUACAGGGGGAUAACAGUUGGAAACGGCUGCUAAUACCGCAUAAGCGCACAGUACCGCAUGGUACGGUGUGAAAAACUCCGGUGGUAUGAGAUGGACCCGCGUCUGAUUAGGUAGUUGGUGGGGUAACGGCCUACCAAGCCGACGAUCAGUAGCCGACCUGAGAGGGUGACCGGCCACAUUGGGACUGAGACACGGCCCAA
This 237-nucleotide ribosomal RNA is filed under the name uncultured bacterium. Its description in RNAcentral is "partial 16S ribosomal RNA". It matches the Rfam family "Bacterial small subunit ribosomal RNA", at positions 96 to 334 of the family's 1533-position model. The record is from RNAcentral.